RNAcentral lists this transfer RNA (90 nucleotides) under Myxococcales bacterium. RNAcentral's name for it is "tRNA-Ser". It matches the Rfam family "tRNA". From Rfam's summary of the family: Transfer RNA (tRNA) molecules are approximately 80 nucleotides in length. Their secondary structure includes four short double-helical elements and three loops (D, anti-codon, and T loops). Lineage: Bacteria; Pseudomonadati; Myxococcota; Myxococcia; Myxococcales. RNAcentral also lists the same sequence under 2 other names. The record is from RNAcentral.
GGAGAGGUGACCGAGCGGUCGAAGGUGCACGACUGGAAAUCGUGUGUGCCCGCGAGGGUACCGGGGGUUCGAAUCCCUUCCUCUCCGCCA